AGAGCUAGCUUGCUAGAGCUCUUAGUGGCGAACGGGUGAGUAAUACAUAAGCAACCUACCUGCAGGGACCGGGAUAACGCUUGGAAACGAGUGCUAAAACCGGAUAGGUAAUAACGGGGCAUCCCGAUAUUAUUAAAGGAGAGAAACACAAGCAGAUGGGCUUAUGGUGCAUUAGUUAGUUGGUGAGGUAACGGCCCACCAAGACGAUGAUGCAUAGCCGGCCUGAGAGGGUGAACGGCCACAUUGGGACUGAGACACGGCCCAGACUCC
This 270-nucleotide ribosomal RNA is filed under the name uncultured Bacillota bacterium. Its description in RNAcentral is "uncultured Firmicutes bacterium partial 16S ribosomal RNA". It matches the Rfam family "Bacterial small subunit ribosomal RNA", at positions 71 to 339 of the family's 1533-position model. The record is from RNAcentral. Lineage: Bacteria; Bacillati; Bacillota.